GACUGGGGUUCCUCCGCUGCCAUCUGAGCAGGAGUGAGAGCAGUAAUGCUCUGUGUAAGUGCAUUGCAAUUCUAACAUCAUUUUCUGUUCUGGCUGUAGAACGGUGUCUUAUGGUUUUUGGGGGGUGGAUAUGGGCUAACAGGACAACGCUGCUCCUGAUGUCUGUGAAAUCAGCACACGAUCUGUUGUUGUAGGGAUGGAGGCUGCGCGUCCGUGGAAUGGUGCUGGGCAUGGGGGGAAACGGAAAGCCUCUGCAGAAGCUGAUGCCAGUGGCCUUCCUCUGAAGCGCAGCCAUGCGGAAAGGCAGAGGAGGAGCACCGAGUGUGACAUGGCACCCAAGAGAGAGAUUGGUGCUGAGCCAAAUGGCAAUAUCUGUGUGAAAGUGGUGCAGCAGGUGUGUUCUGAGAGAGCUUGUCACCGAGCAGCAGCUGAAGCUCCUCUCCAGGCUGGAGGGCUUCCCAGAAGAGCAGGUCCCAGCACAGGGGGAAGACCUUCCCCUGCCGUGUGCCCCCACUCCGACUCCAAGGCCCAGGCUGGAUGUAAACGCAAGGGCUUGGAAGAAGGGAGACCAACAGCAGCGCAGCUGCCUGCCAAAAAGAGAGCGAGGGGUCAGAGCGGAGACAGCGUGCCGGCUCCAGCAGCACAGCCUGGGCCUGCCGCAGCACGGAGCUCCAGGCAAAG
Molecule: long non-coding RNA, 681 nt
Filed under: Phasianus colchicus (ring-necked pheasant)
Lineage: Eukaryota; Metazoa; Chordata; Aves; Galliformes; Phasianidae
Description: lncRNA (ENSPCLG00000017329.1)
Source: RNAcentral